Dicentrarchus labrax (European seabass) is the source of this 2444-nucleotide RNA transcript. RefSeq lists it as uncharacterized. The record is from RefSeq and is a predicted model, not a curated record. NCBI's taxonomy places the organism in Eukaryota, Metazoa, Chordata, Actinopteri, Moronidae. The transcript is spliced from 2 exons.
CAUUCUGCUGCUCCACCAACAAAGACAGACGUGUGCAUAGUUCACACACAUAGUGCAAGUUUAGGCAGUCAUAUGGUGAACAGUAAGGAGUACAGUGAUCACAAGUAAACAUAAAUACCACAAAUACCACAAAUACAAAACAGCAGCGAAAAACCCCCCCAAAAAACUUUGGAUUGCAUGAGGGAAAGCUGACCUCCGUCUACUGUAUACACCAAGUAUUACCUACAGUAGACGGAGGUCAGCUUUCCCCCAGUUUGGAGAAGUAGACAGGAGUCCUGGCACAGAAACAGUGCGAUGCACUGCUGUGGACGGGGGGCUGCAGAAAAACAUCUAAAAAUAUCUAUAUCAGUUCAAAGAUACUCUGUAUUUAGAAUACUUUCACCACUUUACCGUGCUGUCAGCCCUUUCCAACGGGAAACUGAAGCACUUAUAUCCAUCUAUUCUCUCUUCAAAGCCACCAGACUAAAAAUAGUAAUUGUACUUUGCAGAAGACGGGAGUUGCUGGUCCACCACUGCCAAGAGUGUGCCAUUUUGACAUACAUUAGUUGGGUAAACACAUGUGUCACCAACAAUACUAAUUAAAGCUGCAGUAGGUAAUUUUUAUAAAAAAUUACUUUUUGUCAUAUUUGCUGAAACUUUCACUAUAUCCUGACAGUCCAUGACAUAGAUCCCAGUUGACUCUUACAAAUCUCAUGAACACUAGGAGGAGCCAGAGAGACCUGAUUUUUGACAGAUUAUCUCCUUUGUGUACUACUGUCAGGAUAUAGAGAAAGUUUCAGCAAAUAUGACUGAAAUGGUGGACAUGGAGGGCGACUGAGGGACUGCAGGUCUGACACUGUGGUCAGUAGCACGGGAGCGCCGCAAGGGACCGUGCUCUCUCCGGUCCUGUUCACCCUGUACACGUCGGACUUCAAAUAUAACUCGGAGUCCUGUCACGUGCAAAAGUUCGCAGAUGACACGGCUAUUGUGGGCUGUAUCAGGAAUGACCAGGAGGAGGAGUACAGGAAACUCAUUCAGGACUUUUGUCACAUGGUGUGACUCCAACCACCUGCGCCUCAACACCACCAAGACCAAGGAGAUGGUGGUGGACCUCAGAAGGCCCAGGGCUCACCCGGAACCUGUGACCAUCAAUAGUGACCAUGUGGAGUUGGUACAGACAUACAAAUACCUGGGAGUACACCUGGAUGAUAGGCUGGACUGGACUGCCAACACAGACGCCCUGUGCAGAAGAGGUCAGAGCCGAUUAUACUUCCUCAGAAGGCUGGCGUCCUUCAACAUCUGCAAAAAACUGCUUCAGAUAUUCUAUCAGACUGUUGUGGCGAGCGCCCUCUUCUAUACAGCAGUGUGCUGGGGAGGCAGCAUUAAGAAGAAGGAUGCCUCCCGUCUGGACAAACUGGUGAGGAAGGCGGGCUCUGUGUUGGGCACAGAGCUGGACAGACUGACAUCUGUGGCAGAGCGAAGGGCGCUGAACAGGCUCCUGUCAAUCAUGGACAAUCCACUGCAUCCACUGCACAGCACCAUCUACAGGCAGAGGAGCAGCUUCAGCGACAGGCUGCUGUCACUGUCCUACUCCACUGAAAGACUGAGGAGAUCGUUCCUCCCCCACGCCAUCAGGCUCUUCAACUCCACCCAGGGGAGAAAAACUCUAAACUCCAAUAUGUCUGCCCUUUAGUUAACUAUACUACCUGACGCAGUGCACCCUGCAUUAUGUGACCACUGACUGACCGACACUACUUAUGCACCUUAGGCCUUUCAAGCACUGGAUUUGACCAUGCACCUUAGGACACUAGCCCCAUGCUCGUUAUUUAGCUAUUUAUUCUACUUUAUUCUAUUAGUUCUUCUAAAUUGACCUCCUCCUCUUAUUAUUAUUAUUAUUAUUAUCAGUUUGUGGAUACUGCUGGAAACUGUGAAUUUCCCCUUGGGGAUGAAUAAAGUAUCUAUCUAUCUAUCUAUCUAAAAGUUACCUACUGCAGCUUUAAUGCUCUGUUCCAUUCAGGUCAAAAGUCAGGGUGCUGCUAUUGUACUUGUUGGCUCACUGGAAAGGCUCUGCUGCAAUAAAUGGAGAUAACUUUCAUUAGCUUGAUAAUAAUUGGUAACAUCUGUGUUUACCAUACUAUUUUUCAUCAAAAUGGCUGCAGUGAAAACGAUCUAUAGCUAACAUAAACAAACUAAGUGACAGAAGCAGUGGUGGACCAGCAACUCCUGUGUUCUGUGAGGUAAAAUGACAAUGUUUGGAAAUGGCUGUCUGAGAGCAAGCUCUGUUCGACAUCAGAACAUUGCUUAGCUUCCAUGCCGGUACUCCUGCUGUCUGCUUCUCCAAACUAGGGCAGGGGAGGUAACAGACUGAUUAUGGAAGUACCUCAUACAGUCUUACUUCAAUAAAGCCGCACUACUUUAUACAAACAAUUUACAUGUUGAGGAAAUUAACUCUCAAAUAAUUCUUU